CUACGACCAUAUCACGCUGAAAACACCGGUUCUCGUCCGAUCACCGAAGUUAAGCAGCGUCGAGCUCGGUUUAGUACUUGGAUGGGUGACCGCCUGGGAAUACCGGGUGUUGUAG
This 115-nucleotide ribosomal RNA is filed under the name Mytilus coruscus. Lineage: Eukaryota; Metazoa; Mollusca; Bivalvia; Mytilida; Mytilidae. The record is from RNAcentral.